This 421-nucleotide ribosomal RNA is filed under the name uncultured bacterium. RNAcentral's name for it is "partial 16S ribosomal RNA". It matches the Rfam family "Bacterial small subunit ribosomal RNA", at positions 29 to 412 of the family's 1533-position model. The record is from RNAcentral.
AACGAACGCUGGCGGCGUGGCUAAGACAUGCAAGUCGAACGAUACGUUGUAGCAAUAUGGCGUAUAGUGGCGGACGGGUGAGUAAUGAAUAGGUAACGUACCCCGGGCACAGGAAUAGCGUCGGGUCCCGGCAAGGGAUCCUUUGCGAAAGUGACGGUAAUACCUGGUGACGUCAUCGAGGGGCCUCUCUUGAUGAUCAUAGGGUGGGGACCUUCGGGCCUAUCGGCCUGGGAGCGGCCUAUUUCCUAUCAGCUUGUUGGUGAGGUAACGGCUCACCAAGGCAACGACGGGUAACCGGACUGAGAGGUUGGCCGGUCACAUCGGGACUGAGACACUGCCCGGACAUCUACGGAUGGCUGCAGUAACGAAUUAUUCCGCAAUGGGCGCAAGCCUGACGGAGCGACGCCGCGUGGAGGACGAA